This 497-nucleotide ribosomal RNA is filed under the name uncultured bacterium. RNAcentral describes it as "partial 16S ribosomal RNA". It matches the Rfam family "Bacterial small subunit ribosomal RNA", at positions 29 to 507 of the family's 1533-position model. The record is from RNAcentral.
AAUGAACGCUGGCGGCGUGCCUAAUACAUGCGAGUCGAGCGAACAGACGAGGAGCUUGCUCCUCUGACGUUAGCGGCGGACGGGUGAGUAACACGUGGAUAACCUACCUAUAAGACUGGGAUAACUUCGGGAAACCGGAGCUAAUACCGGAUAAUAUAUUGAACCGCAUGGUUCAAUAGUGAAAGACGGUUUUGCUGUCACUUAUAGAUGGAUCCGCGCCGCAUUAGCUAGUUGGUAAGGUAACGGCUUACCAAGGCAACGAUGCGUAGCCGACCUGAGAGGGUGAUCGGCCACACUGGAACUGAGACGCGGUCCAGACUCCUACGGGAGGCAGCAGUAGGGAAUCUUCCGCAAUGGGCGAAAGCCUGACGGAGCAACGCCGCGUGAGUGAUGAAGGUCUUCGGAUCGUAAAACUCUGUUAUUAGGGAAGAACAAAUGUGUAAGUAACUAUGCACGUCUUGACGGUACCUAAUCAGAAAGCCACGGCUAACUACGUG